GAUGAACGCUAGCGGCAGGCCUAAUACAUGCAAGUCGGACGGGAUUCAGGAGCUUGCUUCUGAUGAGAGUGGCGCACGGGUGCGUAACACGUAUGUAACCUACCUUUAUCAGGGGGAUAGCCUCUCGAAAGAGAGAUUAAGCCCGCAUAAAAUCACAGCACAGCAUUGUGUACUGAUCAAAUAUUUAUAGGAUAAAGAUGGGCAUGCGGAACAUUAGCUAGAUGGCGGGGUAACGGCCCACCAUGGCGACGAUGUUUAGGGGAUCUGAGAGGAUGGCCCCCCACACUGGUACUGAGACACGGACCAGACCCCUACGGGAGGCAGCAGUAAGGAAUAUUGGUCAAUGGGCGGAAGCCUGAACCAGCCAUGCCGCGUGCAGGAAGACGGCCCUACGGGUUGUAAACUGCUUUUAUACGGGAAUAAACCCAGAUACGUGUAUCUGGCUGAAUGUACUGUAAGAAUAAGGAUCGGCUAACUCCGUG
Molecule: ribosomal RNA, 482 nt
Filed under: uncultured bacterium
Lineage: Bacteria
Description: partial 16S ribosomal RNA
Rfam family: Bacterial small subunit ribosomal RNA
Source: RNAcentral